CUGUUGCGUCGGAGACCAACAGGGAUGCCUCAGUAACGGCGAGUGAAGCGGCAACAGCUCAAAUUUGAAAUCUGGCCUCACGGUCCGAGUUGUAAUUUGUAGAGGAUGCUUCGAGCAUGGUCUGGCCUAAGUUCCUUGGAACAGGACGUCAUAGAGGGUGAGAAUCCCGUAUGCGGCCAGGUGCCUACGCUCAUGUGAAGCUCCUUCGACGAGUCGAGUUGUUUGGGAAUGCAGCUCAAAAUGGGUGGUAAAUUUCAUCUAAAGCUAAAUAUUGGCCAGAGACCGAUAGCGCACAAGUAGAGUGAUCGAAAGAUGAAAAGCACUUUGGAAAGAGAGUUAAACAGUACGUGAAAUUGUUGAAAGGGAAGCGCUUGCAACCAGACUUGCGUGCGGCCGAUCAUCCGGUGUUCUCACCGGUGCACUCGGUCGCGCUCAGGCCAGCAUCGGUUUUGGUGGUUGGAUAAAGGCCCUAGGAAUGUAGCUUCUCUCGGGGAGUGUUAUAGCCUAGGGUGCAAUGCAGCCCACCGGGACCGAGGACCGCGCUUCGGCUAGGAUGCUGGCGUAAUGGUUGUAAGCGACCCGUCUUGAAACACGGACCAAGGAGUCUAACAUCUAUGCGAGUGUUUGGGUGUCAAACCCAUACGCGUAAUGAAAGUGAACGGAGGUGAGAACCCUUAAGGGUGCAUCAUCGACCGAUCCUGAUGUCUUCGGAUGGAUUUGAGUAAGAGCAUAGCUGUUGGGACCCGAAGAUGGUGAACUAUGCCUGAAUAGGGUGAAGCCAGAGGAAACUCUGGUGGAGGCUCGCAGCGGCUCUGACGUGCAAAUCGAUCGUCAAUUUGGGCAUAAGGGCGAAAGACUAUCGACCAUCUAGUAGCUGGUUCUUGCGAGUUUCCCUCUCUCGCAGAGAAAUACCCGCCUACAUAGAGAUGGGUUCGAAUUUAGUCUUCGGCCCUAUGCGAAUUUGGACGAUGGAAUUGGCACGUUCGAAUCGCUUGCGAGCCUUCAGAGUUCUCUGGCGUCCAUAUCAGCCUAGGUUCACUAAUCGGUUCACGCUAUGCUCUAUACG
Molecule: ribosomal RNA, 1066 nt
Filed under: fungal sp. SMCD2208
Lineage: Eukaryota; Fungi
Description: eukaryotic LSU rRNA
Rfam family: Eukaryotic large subunit ribosomal RNA
Source: RNAcentral